UUUAAUUUAUGUAUGUUUUAAAGCAAAUUUGAAUCAUUAUAUUUAAUUUUAAUUAAGAGUUGAAUAAAAGUAAAAUUUCAUAUAAUCCUUGAAGGGGAAAAAUAUACACUAUACACUGCAACCAAACGUAAUUGUAGUGGAAUUGGUACAAGUCCAGGAAUGAAACAGUUGGGCCGAGCUGAAUGGGCCAAGGGAGCUAAGAGUUUAUUCAAGAAGAAAACAUGUGAGGGAAUUGUCACAUUGCAGGUGAGAAGAGAAGAUUCUAAGGCAGGAAUUAUAACAGAACAGUGACACA
RNAcentral lists this long non-coding RNA (295 nucleotides) under Manihot esculenta (cassava). RNAcentral describes it as "long non-coding RNA (MESC_LNC003253)". Lineage: Eukaryota; Viridiplantae; Streptophyta; Magnoliopsida; Malpighiales; Euphorbiaceae. The record is from RNAcentral.